RNAcentral lists this transfer RNA (77 nucleotides) under Rhodospirillaceae bacterium. RNAcentral's name for it is "tRNA-Ile". It matches the Rfam family "tRNA". From Rfam's summary of the family: Transfer RNA (tRNA) molecules are approximately 80 nucleotides in length. Their secondary structure includes four short double-helical elements and three loops (D, anti-codon, and T loops). RNAcentral also lists the same sequence under 2 other names. Lineage: Bacteria; Pseudomonadati; Pseudomonadota; Alphaproteobacteria; Rhodospirillales; Rhodospirillaceae. The record is from RNAcentral.
GGGCCCGUAGUUCAAUUGGUUAGAACCCGCCGCUCAUAACGGCGUUGUUGCAGGUUCGAGUCCUGCCGGGCCCACCA